Molecule: transfer RNA, 58 nt
Filed under: Hemiselmis rufescens
Lineage: Eukaryota; Cryptophyceae; Cryptomonadales; Hemiselmidaceae
Source: RNAcentral
CCUUUUAAAGCUAUUAAUACCUCUCUUUAUUUAUGUGAUAAUAAAUUUCAUACUGAUG